GACGAACGCUGGCGGCGUGCCUAAUACAUGCAAGUAGAACGCUGAAGGAGGAGCUUGCUUCUCUGGAUGAGUUGCGAACGGGUGAGUAACGCGUAGGUAACCUGCCUGGUAGCGGGGGAUAACUAUUGGAAACGAUAGCUAAUACCGCAUAAGAGUAGAUGUUGCAUGACAUUUGCUUAAAAGGUGCAAUUGCAUCACUACCAGAUGGACCUGCGUUGUAUUAGCUAGUUGGUGGGGUAACGGCUCACCAAGGCGACGAUACAUAGCCGACCUGAAAGGGUGGACGGACAACAUUGGACUGGAGACAGGGCCAGAAUUCAACGGGAGGCAGGAGUAAGGGAUCGUCGGCAAUGGACGGAAGUCUGACCGAACAAAGCCUGGUGAGUGAAGGAGGGUUUCGGAACGGAAAAAUCUGUUGUAAGGGAAGAACGAGUGGGAGAGUGGAAAGUGCACACUGUGACGGUAUCUUACCAGAAAGGGACGGCUAACUACGUG
Molecule: ribosomal RNA, 495 nt
Filed under: uncultured bacterium
Lineage: Bacteria
Description: partial 16S ribosomal RNA
Rfam family: Bacterial small subunit ribosomal RNA
Source: RNAcentral